GUGCUUGCACUCUGCUGACGACCGGCGCACGGGUGCGUAACGCGUAUGCAAUCUACCUCUUACUGAGGGAUAGCCCAUGGAAACGUGGAUUAAUACCUCAUAGUAUUAUAGACUGGCCUCAGUUUAUGAUUAAAGGUUACGGUAAGAGAUGAGCAUGCGUCCUAUUAGCUAGAUGGUAAGGUAACGGCUUACCAUGGCAACGAUAGGUAGGGGUCCUGAGAGGGAGAUCCCCCACACUGGUACUGAGACACGGACCAGACUCCUACGGGAGGCAGCAGUGAGGAAUAUUGGACAAUGGGCGAGAGCCUGAUCCAGCCAUGCCGCGUGCAGGAAGACGGCCCUAUGGGUUGUAAACUGCUUUUACAGAGGAAGAACCCUCCUUACGAGUAAGGAGCUGACGGUACUCUAUGAAUAAGGAUCGGCUAACUCCGUGCCAGCAGCCGCGGUAAUACGGAGGAUCCAAGCGUUAUCCGGAAUCAUUGGGUUUAAAGGGUCCGUAGGCGGGUUUAUAAGUCAGUGGUGAAAGUCUGCAGCUUAACUGUAGAACUGCCAUUGAUACUGUAGACCUUGAAUUAGUAUGAAGUGGUUAGAAUGUGUAGU
RNAcentral lists this ribosomal RNA (600 nucleotides) under Zunongwangia sp. IO-90. RNAcentral's name for it is "bacterial SSU rRNA". It matches the Rfam family "Bacterial small subunit ribosomal RNA", at positions 76 to 674 of the family's 1533-position model. Lineage: Bacteria; Pseudomonadati; Bacteroidota; Flavobacteriia; Flavobacteriales; Flavobacteriaceae. The record is from RNAcentral.